GGAGCAAUGCUGUUUGACAUUGUGAAUGGAUCUUGCACCUCAAAUGGAUUAAGAGAUGGUGCUCCAUAAACAGGCUGCUGAGUGGCUCUAUAUGCUGCUGAGUCAUACAAACUGUUCAAAGUGAGCGAGUCCAAUCCACCGGCCAAUUGCCUCUCGUUAACUGAAGAGAUGUUACUGCUCGGAGUGGUAACCAGGGCAAGCUCCCAUCCAGUAGGGUCAAAAUCUUUCGCUUGAGCAGCACCAGAAUUGAAUGUUGGCGCAGCAUCCUGUUCAAUUGGAACUAUAGCCAGAGCCAACGCAUUU
This 303-nucleotide unclassified non-coding RNA is filed under the name Hevea brasiliensis (rubber tree). Lineage: Eukaryota; Viridiplantae; Streptophyta; Magnoliopsida; Malpighiales; Euphorbiaceae. The record is from RNAcentral.